RNAcentral lists this unclassified non-coding RNA (348 nucleotides) under soil metagenome. RNAcentral describes it as "partial contains 5.8S ribosomal RNA, internal transcribed spacer 2, and large subunit ribosomal RNA". The stretch from base 1 to 120 matches the Rfam family "5.8S ribosomal RNA", at positions 35 to 154 of the family's 154-position model. The record is from RNAcentral.
GAUGAAGAACGUAGUGAAAUGCGAUAAGUAAUGUGAAUUGCAGAAUUCAGUGAAUCAUCGAGUCUUUGAACGCACAUUGCGACCCCUGGUAUUCCGGGGGGCAUGCCUGUCCGAGCGUCAUUGCCGCCCUCAAGCACGGCUUGUGUGUUGGGCCCCCGCCCCCCGGCUUCGGGGGGCGGGCCCGAAAGGCAGCGGCGGCACCGCGUCCGGUCCUCGAGCGUAUGGGGCUUCGUCACCCGCUCUGUAGGCCCGGCCGGCGCCCGCCGGCGACCCCAAUCAAUCUUUCCAGGUUGACCUCGGAUCAGGUAGGGAUACCCGCUGAACUUAAGCAUAUCAAUAAGCGGAGGA